UACGUAGGGUGCGAGCGUUGUCCGGAAUUAUUGGGCGUAAAGAGCUUGUAGGCGGUUUGUCGCGUCUGCUGUGAAAUCCCGAGGCUCAACCUCGGAACUGCAGUCGAUACUGCUGUGGCUAGAGUCUGGUAGAGGAGAGUGGAAUUCCCGGUGUAGCGGUGGAAUGCGCAGAGAUCAGGAGGAAUACCGAAGGCGAAGGCAGUCUUCCAAGCCGUUAUUGACGCUCAACUGCGAAGGUGUGGGUAUCAAACAGGAUUA
This 258-nucleotide ribosomal RNA is filed under the name uncultured prokaryote. RNAcentral's name for it is "partial 16S ribosomal RNA". It matches the Rfam family "Bacterial small subunit ribosomal RNA", at positions 524 to 780 of the family's 1533-position model. The record is from RNAcentral.